AUGGUGCCACAGCCCCAACUUCUCAUCUUCCUGGUGCUCUGGGUAUCAGGUGCCUGUGGGGACAUUGUGAUGACCCAGUCUCCAGAUACACUGGCUGUGUCGGUAGGAGAGAGGGUCACCAUCAGCUGCAAAUCUAGCCAGAGUCUUUUAUACAGUUACAACAAUAAAAACCUCUUAGCCUGGUACCAACAGAAAGCAGGACAGGCUCCUAAGCUGCUCAUCUACUGGGCAUCCACCCGGGCAUCUGGGGUCCCUGAUCGAUUCAGUGGCAGUGGGUCUGGGACCGAUUUCACUCUCACCAUCAGCAGCCUCCAGGCUGAAGAUGCGGCAGUUUAUUACUGUCAGCAGUAUUAUAGCACUCCUCCCACAGUGCUUCAGCCUCGAACACAAACCUCCUCUGUUGGUCUGCCUGUCAGAGAGUCUAAAGCACCUGCUGCUUCCUUGCCAGAGGGUAUCAGAUCUGCACACUUCCUCUAUCUGCCUGAGGGCCUGUGUAUUCUGACUCAUUCAAUGGGAAGGUUUUCAGGGCUAGAGAAGAGAAUUUAG
Molecule: non-coding RNA, 546 nt
Organism: Galeopterus variegatus (Sunda flying lemur)
Lineage: Eukaryota; Metazoa; Chordata; Mammalia; Dermoptera; Cynocephalidae
Source: the annotation of a RefSeq genome assembly